Molecule: ribosomal RNA, 437 nt
Filed under: uncultured Oscillibacter sp.
Lineage: Bacteria; Bacillati; Bacillota; Clostridia; Eubacteriales; Oscillospiraceae
Description: bacterial SSU rRNA
Rfam family: Bacterial small subunit ribosomal RNA
Source: RNAcentral
ACGGGAGGCAGCAGUGGGGAAUAUUGGGCAAUGGGCGAAAGCCUGACCCAGCAACGCCGCGUGAAGGAAGAAGGCCUUCGGGUUGUAAACUUCUUUUACCAGGGACGAACGAAAUGACGGUACCUGGAGAAAAAGCAACGGCUAACUACGUGCCAGCAGCCGCGGUAAUACGUAGGUUGCAAGCGUUGUCCGGAUUUACUGGGUGUAAAGGGCGUGUAGGCGGAGCUGCAAGUCAGAUGUGAAAUCCAUGGGCUUAACUCAUGAACUGCAUUUGAAACUGUUGAUCUUGAGUAUCGGAGAGGCAAUCGGAAUUCCUUGUGUAGCGGUGAAAUGCGUAGAUAUAAGGAGGAACACCAGUGGCGAAGGCGGAUUGCUGGACGACAACUGACGGUGAGGCGCGAAAGCGUGGGGAGCAAACAGGAUUAGAUACCCUGGUA